Molecule: long non-coding RNA, 2343 nt
Filed under: Brassica napus (rape)
Lineage: Eukaryota; Viridiplantae; Streptophyta; Magnoliopsida; Brassicales; Brassicaceae
Description: long non-coding RNA (BNAP_LNC005671)
Source: RNAcentral
CGGUAAUCAACAGCAAACACGGAUGGUUUGCUCUAGUACCGUUAGUUUGUGUCGGGAAACCCAAGCUCGGUGCUGUAUCAAUCUCGACUGCUCUAGUUGUUAGGGGCCAAACGACAGAGCAACCUGGAUCUGUUCCUCAGUCACACUUUACAGACUCGGUUGCGGUACAGAUUUAUAGAGUGGCUUCUCUCUUGUUGAAUUUUCUAUGCUUACAAGCAGAAGGUGUUGUUAAACGGGCAGAGGAAGUGGGAUAUGUAGAUCUUGCUCAUUUCCCUGAGCUUCCAGAGCCGGAGAUUUUGCACGGUCUACAGGUAUGAUAACUCAGAGGACAAGCACGGUGUUUUUGUUUUUACCCUUGUUUUAACCCUUUUUUUCUACUAGUACUACAAUAUUGUAUUUUGAAAUGCAGGACCAAGCCACAGCGAUUGUCGCUGAGCUUUGUGAUAAUUACAAAGAGGUUCCUAAUGAAGUCAAGAAGCUGUGCCUCCUGUUGCUCCAAAUAACAGAGAAGUCGUUAUAUUUGGAACUCUGUGUAGUUCAGGUUUGCAGGAUCCAUCAAGUCUUUGGCCGGGUGGAUAACUUCUCAAAAGACUUCAAAAAGCUAGUGAAAGGUAACAAUCAAUUGAUUUUAGGAAAUGCACGAUCAAUUUAGUAGCAAGGUGUAGAAAAAUGGUUGGUGUUUUUUUAACAUAUGCUUAUUUCUAAUGAGCAGCUGCAGAAGCGCAUGCGUACUUGGAACCGUCUAUGGAUUCACUGAAGAAAAUAGCUGUGUUUCUGUAUCCUGGAUUGCUAUAGGUACGAGAUUUUUUUUUAACAUGGAGACUUGUUUGUUCUUCAGUGUGACUGUAUUAUUGAAUCAUUGACCAUAUAUAUGUAAGUCAACAUAUUAGAUGCUAUGCACGUAUAAACUUUAAUGUUGGGCUCAUGCCGACCACUCAUUUUGGGCCGUUCGUCAUGCAUUCAUUUUUUAUUCGCUUUUACCUCUCAACAAAUGCUUUUGAUUGGUUCUCUCAUUAUAGACCGCAGAAAGUGCACUUCCGAAUAAACCUCUCUUCUUUUUCUAUAUGCUCAACUUUAGAUAAAUCAUUGUUCUCCAUCUUUCUGGUUUUAAACCUUAAAAUCCUCGGUAGUUUGAGGCAUUCAAAUGCUAUAUUAAAGAAGACGGUAAACCUCCUGCUUGAGGUGCUGCUUCUGGUUGUGGGUUCUGGUUCAGACAGCUCAAACUCAAGUGAGAUGGGACAUAUGGCAGCCAGAGAUCUUGCAGAAAUAUCUGAUGCGACAAUUGGAUUAUUACCCCUUCUCUGCAACUUCAUGGGGAAUCCCGAGUACUUGACUCUCUGCCUGACCACGGUAGACUUGAUUCUCAGAAAUUUUUUGACGCCAGAGACAUGGUUCCCAAUUAUACAGAGUCAUCUCCGCUUGCAGCAUGUUAUACUGCAGCUUCAGGAUAAGAAAUCCUCGGCAUCCGUUUCAGCAAUAAUGAAGUUUUUCUUAACUAUUGCUCAAGUUCAUGACGGUGCUCAGAUGCUUCUCAAUUCCGGAUUUUUCUCGACUCUAAGAGCUUUGUUCAUUGACUUGCCAGAUGGAAUAUCUACUUUGGUAUCUGACGAUGAAAAGGGCGGGCAGCUAGAUAAGAAAGAAAAACCGCAGCAUAUGUGGGGACUCGGUUUGGCUGUGGUUACGGCGAUGGUUAAUUCUCUAGGAUCCGUUUCUGUGGGUGCGGAUAUCGUGGAGAGUGUAAUAUCUUACUUUUUCUCAGAGAAAGGUUACAUGAUCUCUUAUUAUCUGUCUGCGCCUGAUUUCCCUUCUGAUGAUCGUGAAAAAGUGAGAGCAAGAACUCAACGGACAUGGACAUCCCUUGCUUAUCUGAGAGAAACCGAGCAUACUCUCCUUCUGAUGUGUGCAUUAGCAAGCCACUGGAGAUCAUGGGUUAAGAUUAUGAAGGAGAUGGAUUCUCCAUUAAGAGAAAUGGCUAUACAUCUCUUGGCCUUUAUCAGCAAAGGCGCUCAACGCCUGAGAGAGUCUCAUAUCAUAACAUCUCAUCUGUUAUGCCCUCCAGUAGUGAAAGAAGAGUUUGAUUCCUGCAAAAGACAGUCGGUAAUCAACAGCAAACACGGAUGGUUUGCUCUAGUACCGUUAGUUUGUGUCGGGAAACCCAAGCUCGGUGCUGUAUCAAUCUCGACUGCUCUAGUUGUUAGGGGCCAAACGACAGAGCAACCUGGAUCUGUUCCUCAGUCACACUUUACAGACUCGGUUGCGGUACAGAUUUAUAGAGUGGCUUCUCUCUUGUUGAAUUUUCUAUGCUUACAAGCAGAAGGUGUUGUUAAACGGGCAGAGGAAGUG